AAUGAACGCUAGCGGGUGCCUACACAUACAAAUGGAACGGCAGCCCGGAAUUUGGUGUGUGUCGAGUGGGGCAACGGUUGAGUAUAUAUCGGGACCGUCCUUAGUACGGGGGAUAACUCCGCAAAAGGCGUAGCUAUUCCCGCAUCCGCCCUACGGGGAAAAGCAAGAGGAUGGAAGGACUUGCCACUAUAGGGGCGGCCGAAUAUCGGAAUUAGCUAGUUGGUUGGGGGUAACGGCUCACCAAGGCGACGACCCCUAGCUGGUCUGAGAGGAUGACCAGCCACACUGGAACUGAGACACGGUCCAGACUCCUACGGGAGGCAGCAGUGGGGAAUAUUGCGCAAUGGGGGGAACCCUGACGCAGCCAUGCCGCGUGAAUGAAGAAGGCCUUAGGGUUGUAAAGUUCUUUCGGUAUUGAGGAAGGUUGAUGUGUUAAUAGCACAUCAAAUUGACGUUAAAUACAGAAGAAGCACCGGCUAACUCCGUGCCAGCAGCCGCGGUAAUACGGAGGGUGCGAGCGUUAAUCGGAAUAACUGGGCGUAAAGGGCACGCAGGCGGUUAUUUAAGUGAGGUGUGAAAGCCCCGGGCUUAACCUGGGAAUUGCAUUUCAGACUGGGUAACUAGAGUACUUUAGGGAGGGGUAGAAUUCCACGUGUAGCGGUGAAAUGCGUAGAGAUGUGGAGGAAUACCGAAGGCGAAGGCAGCCCCUUGGGAAUGUACUGACGCUCAUGUGCGAAAGCGUGGGGAGCAAACAGG
This 756-nucleotide ribosomal RNA is filed under the name uncultured Streptococcus sp. Its description in RNAcentral is "bacterial SSU rRNA". It matches the Rfam family "Bacterial small subunit ribosomal RNA", at positions 28 to 776 of the family's 1533-position model. Lineage: Bacteria; Bacillati; Bacillota; Bacilli; Lactobacillales; Streptococcaceae. The record is from RNAcentral.